GAUGGCAAGAUUUUCUGUAAGAUUCCAAACUUCUUUACUUAUUUAUUUUAAGUAGAAGUUUACAUGAUCCCUCAAUUACUUCCCACCUUAAAGCUCUGAUAUACAGUGGAUGUCAACGGUAUUCUUUAAAAAAAAAAUCUGCAUAACUUUUAGUCUGCUGUUAUCCUAGGGAUUUGCUAACUGGAAGCAUUGUUCACUAUUGAGAAAAUCACAUUUAUUUUCAUGUUGCAGUUUUAGAUUGUUGAUUGGAACUGUAGUGUUCCAAUAAGAAUAAAAGCUAUUCUUUUCUCUUAGGAUUUGUCUCUCUCAAC
This 311-nucleotide unclassified non-coding RNA is filed under the name Hevea brasiliensis (rubber tree). Lineage: Eukaryota; Viridiplantae; Streptophyta; Magnoliopsida; Malpighiales; Euphorbiaceae. The record is from RNAcentral.